GAAAUAAGUGCUGUGGUUGUGGCUUGGGUCCUGGUCAGAUUUUCUUUUUUUAGUCUUUAGGUGGAUCACAUGUCUGAUCAAUAACAUUGAUUCUAUCAGUCAACAGCUUAUAUACUCACAUAAAUAAUAAUAAUAAAAAAACUACUAUAGAUUACAAAUACAAUUAAGCGAUAACAAUCCAUAAAUGACUGCAUAUCUGUCAGUCACAGGUGACUUUAAAUAAGUGAAUACAAAUAAAUCUGUAACCUGAUGCGGGGUUGCCAACUUUAACUCAUUUGCCAUAAAACAAAUGAUUUCAGCCAGCACACGCUACCCAACUACAUCUCACGGCAAAUAACAAGAAAAUACUAAAUAAAUGGAAUCAUUUAGAUUAAAAUAUCCAAUUUCAUGCAUUAUAAAAUCAUAACUGUAAAGGGAUCUUAAUAAAGAAUUCUUUACAUUAGGCCCUAAAUGAUCAAUCAGCACGGCUCCAGUUCAUCAGUUAACAUCUUGUGAAGUGAAAAUGUGUAUGCAAGAAAUAUAUUCAUCAUUGAGGUAUUUUAACUUGGUUCUGGCUAGUCCAUAAUCCAUAAAAACGAUCCCUCAAACCCCAAGAAUUAGGCCACGGAUCUUUAGUGCUCAUGUGUGCCUGAAGCUACUCUCUAUAUACAGAUGACUGUCUUUAAUCAGUCUGGUAAGGGUUUGUAUUUAUAUUAUUAUAUUUAUUAGUAUGGUUAUAUUUAUAGGCUAUUUGGUAAUUUGGGGGUCUUUGAGACAUCCGCGAGCACACUGACGUCAAAUAUAUUACACAGAUUCACAGCGGCCACUUUUUAUACAAAAACUGUAUUGCCCCCCCCCCCCCCGGCCCUGUUUUUAUUUUCUCAAACGUGUUGUUUGCUGCCUCAUGAGUUUCGUUUCGUUUGUCUUAACAACCAGCUGACCUGAAGGUUGAUAGCUUAGUUUCAUUCAGCUCACAGUUCUCGUUGCCGUUUGGAGGAACAGACUGUCAAAGCAAUGGACUUGUACGACGAAUAUGACAUUUAUACAGCUGGUGAUGAAAUGCCUCAACCUUCAGCACCACUGGAUAUCGCUGGAUUUAAAAUCAAAGUGGACUGGACAGAACCAUUUCCAGAGAGAUGGAGAGCAAGAUUACAGAAAGCCCUUCAGAGCUGGUUGUCCAGACUGGAAAGAACAGCAUCAGUCCACAGCGUUAAACUCAUGGACGACCCAUCGUGUGCGGAGGUGCAGAUAACACCAUCAACAGGUGAGAAAAUGUCAUAUAUACAAUACAUUUUUGUCAUCAUCUCAUGGAUGCUAGUAUCUGAAAUAGCUAAAAUACAUACAAUAUUUGUACAUAUUAAUACAGAAGGGAAAAUACCACUGUUGGGGGUAUGGUAACAAACAGAAGAGAAGAUUUAUUUUAAAAAUAAUGAGUAAAGUAAAGUGGAGUGGCACGCUUUGAUCCAGUAUGUUUUAUUUUGCUUUAUUUGAGUAUAAAAUGUGAUUAAAAGGUCACUAUUUCCAUCUGUCAUACAAAGAAACAACGGUUUGAUUUAUGGGUCCCCUUGCAUAUGUAGUUUACAGGGAUUCUCCAUAGGUGUAAUGGUUUUUAUACUGUACAGACAGGAUUUUCUAUCCCCUUAACCUUAACCCUACACCUGAAGCUAAACCUCAAACAAAACUACAGCCAAUUUUGAGUUUCAAAAAACACUGUUUAGGCUGUUUUUUUUUAAAGCCUUUUGGUUUACAGGGACACAUGAUGUGUCCUCAUAAACCA
Cyprinus carpio (common carp) is the source of this 1756-nucleotide long non-coding RNA. The record is from Ensembl. NCBI's taxonomy places the organism in Eukaryota, Metazoa, Chordata, Actinopteri, Cypriniformes, Cyprinidae.